AAGACUGCCUCCAAGGAGGAUCCCACACAGAGGUACCAUGGAUGAGGGCUUCACCAUGUCUUUCAGGGGACACAGUGUGACACAUAAGAGGUGGCGAUGCAGAUUAAACGCUUGUUUUGCCAGAAAGCUCUCACCGUUUCCCAGGCUGCGUGGUCACUUCCUUGGCCAUCCCUCCACGGCACUGCCUGCCACCACCUCCUCCUCUCAGCCCAGAGCCAGCCUGCCCACCGCUGGAUCCUGGCCCUGCCUCUGCCUGGCCACAUGGUAGCAGCUUCAACUUCGUGGUACCCCAGGCAAUAGAGAAGAGCAUCCCCUGUGCCCUGUGCCCUGAAGACUCUCCUGGGAUCUCAUUAGCUCCGGUUGACUCACAAGUCAAUCCUUGCAUUAAUUGCUGUGCCCAUAGGAAUGCAGUGGGCUCCACGGCUUAGGCUCCCACUCCUGGUCCCCAGCACCUGUGUCCUUAGCCCACCAGAUGAGUCCACUGUACGCAGCAGCGUGAAGACAGCCGGUCUAGGUGUCCGAGACACAGAGAGUGGAGGAGAAGAUCCUUGGCGUAUUUUCUGGGAAUCUAUGUAGAUAUGUAGUGCUUUGGAUGGUGUCAGGUCUUGCGGUUGGGCCAUGAAGGACCAUCAGCGAGAAGUCCUGCUCUUCAGGACAUAAAUUUCCUUUAACAAGACAGAGAUGCUUAAAGACUUUGGUCUCCCAUUCAGGUCUACCUGACCCAGAGACGUAAACUGAUGAAAUCUCAGCUUUGGAAAUAUCCUUGAGGGUCAUCUGAUCCAAACACAAUCACCAUGGACCCCAAUAUGCUUCUUGAUGGCAUCUUUUACCAGCUGGUAACGACAUGAUCACAUAAAUGCCUCCCCGGAUGAAGGGGAGGCCAAACCAUUUUCUAAUGCUCAGAUGUUUAGAUUUUCUUACACUUUUAGGCAGAAAUCCCUCUCUUUGUAAAAACCCCUUCUAUCGAUCCUAGUUGUACUGAGAAUGAUGCAGAACAGCUCCAUUCCUUGCUCCAAAGACAGCCUGUGCAUUGAAGACAGAUCUGUACCCUGUCUACUUCUCCUAACUUCCGGGAAACAGCCCUAGUGUUACUGCUUGAUAGAUGUCCCUCAAGGCCCACGUGGUAAAGGCUUGGUCCCCCGCCUGUGGCACUAACAGGAAGUGGUAGACCCUGUAAGAGUUGGUGCAGCACAGAAGGCCCUUGGGCCAUUGGGGUUGUGCCCCGGAAGGGGAUAGUGGGACCCUAGCCCCUUUCCCUUCUCCCUUUUUUGUGUUUGCUUUGUGAGAAGCUUCGCCCCCA
Molecule: long non-coding RNA, 1300 nt
Filed under: Fukomys damarensis (Damara mole-rat)
Lineage: Eukaryota; Metazoa; Chordata; Mammalia; Rodentia; Bathyergidae
Description: lncRNA (ENSFDAG00000021646.1)
Source: RNAcentral